This 3627-nucleotide long non-coding RNA is filed under the name Malus domestica (apple). RNAcentral's name for it is "long non-coding RNA (MDOM_LNC010432)". Lineage: Eukaryota; Viridiplantae; Streptophyta; Magnoliopsida; Rosales; Rosaceae. The record is from RNAcentral.
CCAAUGUUUUGUGACCUCGCCCUACUUUUUCUCGACCUCGGCCUAAUGGUAGGAAUGCAUGCAAAUUCAACAUUAUAUUUAUAUAUGCAUGGCAUGCAUGUUGGCAGAACACAUUCAGUUGAGUUUUGUUAUGGAGUUUAAUAUAUAUAUAUAUUCAAAAUAGGUAGUAGGCUUCAGCCUAUGGACAUGGUGGCGUGAGGAAUCAUGAUUUGCUUCAAGGUACCAAGCUAGUAGAAGUUAUGGUUUGCUUUCAUUUCAUGUCAGAACACAAUUGGAAAGAGUGAGAAGUCAUGGUUUGCUUUCAUGUCAUGUCAAAACACAAUUGAGAAGACAAAAGUUUUGCUUAUUUAUUUAGGCCGAGCUCGACCAAUUCGUCGAAUAUACUCGGCCGAAUCUGGGUUUUAUUAUUGUUUUGCUCAGCCAAUUUUUGCCAAGCUCGGCGGACAAGAGUUGGUGUUCGGCAGUAAAAUCAUGGGUCUCUUCUCUUCCAUAGCAUGAUAUCUACAGUAAAAGGCUAUCUAAAUGGGGAAGAAGAAGGCCCUUGGCGUUUCAUAGACUUUUGUGCCGCAGCAAGGUGGGGAAGAAGAAGGCCCUUGGCGUUUCAUGCUUGCAGAUUGGAGCGUUUUAGGUGUACUUCGUUCUUGUUUUCAAUGUUUAUUUUGUUAUUACUUUCUGAUUUUGCUGUAAUCAUGAGUGGCUAAACCCCUAAUUAGUUAAGGGGAAGUUGAAGCCAUGAACAUGCUUGAGAUAUGAAUUGAUUUCUUCCAAUUGUGAUUUGUUAAGUUAUGAUUGCAAUUCAAUUAUCUAUUUUAGUCAUAACUGAUUCUUGUAUGUUUAUUGAGGAUGCAUACUUAGUUUUCAUGCUUGAAUUAGACGCUAGAAUAUAAAUGAGUUUCACCUAAUCGUUACAAGUUUAUAUUCAUUAGUAGUGAAGGUUGCUUAUCACAAUCGCGUUAAUUGAAUUCUUGGCAAACGUAUCGUGCAUUCAUAGUUACAAUUGCCUCGUCAACACUUAUGAUUUUCAUGAAACGUAAUGACCUCUGAUUGUAUCUCUAUUAUGCAUUCAUGUAAGGGACUUUUAGAGAAUGAUUUGGGUUGCUGCAUGCAUUCAUCCAAUCCAAUGAGUAAAGGAAAAUCUGAGGGUUAAUUUGUGCAUCACGGUUAAUCUAGUGUGUUGAGCAUCAUAAUCUAUUGAAAAGUAAUUGGAAAUCGAUUCAUGUACAAAUGUGUCAUGUGUGAAGAACGGACCUCUAACUAAUCCAUCCAUUAUCUUAUUUCUUAAAUUCAUUUUACAAUCUGCCUAGUUUUAUAACUUGUUUGUUUGCUUGUUUCAAAUUCGUCCAAAUCAAUACCCCCCUUUUACUUUCUGGUUUCAAAGUGUUCAAUUUAUGUUUUGUUUGUGUUUUUGAGUGUUUUGAUUCAAGCCAAAACACUAAAUUCGUCCAAAAUUGUGCUAAGGUCAGAAUCUGCCCAGAUUGUGUUUUUAAGCAGUUUUGAGUGUUUUUAAGCUAUUUUGAGUCUUUUGAAUCUGUUUUGAGUUCCUUGAGUCUAUUCAAGCGUUUUUAACUUUGUUUUUAUGUUUUUGAGUCAGUUUAGAGGUUUUAGCAAGCCCUCCUAAUCCCCGGUUUAGAACGAUCCCUACUUGCAUUUAUACUACGAUUUGACAACAAGAGGGUUUAAUUUGAGUGCUUAACUUUUAUCACAUCAGCGCGCCACGUAGGCUUAGUAGUUUUUAGGGUCAACAGUAACAUACAACUUGUGUUGAUAAAAGUUCAAUAAAUAAAUAAAUAAAUAAAUAAAAUCAUUAAUAAAACGAUACCUAAUUAAUUGAAAAUAUACAGUGACAAUUUGUUUUUUUUAAACAAAGGACACAAUAGUUCUAUGGCCGUUAACAAUUCUCUCACACGACACUAAAGUUGUGCGGCAAUUCAUCAUUUUUCGUUGGCGGCGCAUGAAGGCUAACUCCAACCAAUGGCCUAAAACCUAUAAUUCCCCUUCUAUUCUCCCCCAAUCCAUUCCAACUAAGUUCUAAUUUGGACCUAAAACCUAAAACCUAAAAAAAACCAGAUUUAGGCCAGGAUUUAGGCCAAGAUUAGUGGUGGAACCCCCACCCACAUGGUUGUGUCUCCCACUUGUCUGCCUAUAAAAUUGAGCCCAACAGCUCUUUUGGUUUUGCUCACAUUUAAAUGAGAUGUUGGUUAUCCAACGGUCCACAUUUAAUUUAGUUAAUAUUUUUGUUUUAUAUUUAUAAAUUUAUUGAAUCCAAUGACUUAGAUCAAAUAUGAUCAAAUUUAACAGUAAAAAAAAAAAUCUAAUUGUCCAAAUUUAAAUUCAACGGUUAAAAUAAUUAUAAAAAAAUAUUUAACUCAAAAUUCACUCAAAAACUCUAUAAAUAUCUAUAUAUUUGUUGAAACAUCCACACAAAACUCACUUUUCUCCUACAAUUCUCCCAAUUUUUCUUUCUACCAUCUUCCAAAACCAUGUGUUUGUUCAUGUGUCUUGUGUUUAUACAUCUCUAUCAUGUCUUUCAUAUUCUUAUAUAGUGUUUCAUGAGUUUCAUGUGUCGGUUUUAGUGAUUUUUUUAAUAUUUAUCGGAAUUUAAAUAUUUUUAGGUUAAAAUGUUCAUAAAAUUAAUUUAGGAUAGUCUACAUAAUUUUUUUUCAAGUUAAUUUAAAAAAAUUAGCCUAAAUUCAUUCUUUAAUAAUAUGGGGUUAAAAUUUUAGGUCAUAAGGGUUGGAGUAGAAAAGCUGUUUCUUGGUUAAAACCUAAAUUUUCAGGGCUAAAAAUUUUAGAUUUUAGGCCAAGGGUUGGAGAUGGUCUAAGGAGUAAGCACCUCCCAGUUGUUUUUUUUUUUUUUUUUUUAAAAAAAAAACCACUUUAAGUACUUCUACUUCAAACUUAAAGCAAUUUUGCAAAUUUUGCCAAAAUACCGUAAUUUAAAGUGCAAUGCUUUUACUUCUUAGCACUUUGACUUUCCCAAAAACACAUUCAAACAAGCCCAAACUUUUUGUAUGAUUGUAUUGGCUUCAAUAUGACCUUUAGUGAUGCUGAUGCGACUUCUUUGCAUUAAGAGGAGUAAUAAAAAAGGAAAACUAAUGAAAAUGACUUGAAAACUUUGAGUUUUAAUCAAAAGGACAAAAAGGUGUUGUAAGUGAAUAGUAUCAGGAGUGAUUUUUUAGAGUAAAAAUGUCAUUUUCGCUAACAGUGAACAAUACUAGGAGUGUUUCGUUAAAACUUUCAUAAAAAUCAUCUUCCAACUAAAGAAAAUGCAAAAUACUAAAUUAUACUAAUGACAUCAAAUUCAAAUUUUUCAACAGAUAAACUAUGAACCAGUCACUAACACUAUAAUGGGUAAAUUACAAUUUACCACCUUGGGUUUGAGAUUUAUUGCAACCUCAUACAAUAUCUUCAAAACAUUUCACUUUCAUACUUCAUGUACUAUUUUAUUUCAAAAUAAUACCUCCAUUACAUUUUCCAUCCAUUAGUCUGUUAAGAGCUGACGUGGCUAUCACAUUUAUGCCAUGUGGCUAAACACUUGAUAAAUUUUUUUUAAUAAUAAUCCCAGAAACCCAUUCCCCCGAUCUCUCUGCAACUCCAACCCUCUCUUCCUCCAUUUUCACCUCCCUC